Molecule: long non-coding RNA, 1324 nt
Filed under: Vigna radiata
Lineage: Eukaryota; Viridiplantae; Streptophyta; Magnoliopsida; Fabales; Fabaceae
Description: long non-coding RNA (VRAD_LNC001937)
Source: RNAcentral
AGAAUAUGUGUUAAAGGUAAAAAAAAUUUGGUAUUUAGUCACUAAAUUGUUGUGGCUAAAUGCUUUGAAUUGAGCUUGUUUGGUUUCAGUUUUCGAUGUUUUCUAGGUUUAUAUAAUAAGGAGUGGAAAGUAUUAAAAUUGAUAAGUUUUCUUGUCAGAGAGACAAUUCUUUGUUUGUUGUGGGAUUUGAUUUCUUAAAGUUAAUAAAUGGUUGGUUAUUCCUUUGUGUUUGUUGAACUUCAAUUAUAUACAAGGAAUAACUUCUUAAUACAAUUGUUCUUUGUCUUGUCCACACACUUACAAUGCUACGUAUACUAGCCACGCGAAAUGUUAUUCAUGGAUACUAACAAUUCAUAUUCUAUGGAAAUUUAUCCAAAAUUUUGUAAAAGUUUGAUGCCUAUACAUGCAUAUAUUUUGAGUGUUGAUAUUAGAAGUUAUUCAAGUCUGUUUGUUGCUUACUUUCUUGAGUGUAUUGAGUUGAAAUUGUUUAUUAUACACACUUGAGAGAUACACAUUUUGUGAGGUUCUAUUACUUUUAAUUCACCUCUUGAACUGAUUGAUUAUUUUUUCAUGUCUUGAAAUGUUUGGAUGAUUUUCAUGAAUAUCUGGUAUACGUGAUUCUUUGUGUAUUGGAUGUUGUCUACUCCUUUUCUUUUUUCAGGAUUCAUUGAGAAUUGUGUGCAUCUGUUUGUUUACUUGUGUGUCUUUUUGUGUUUGUUUCCUUUUGUUGUGUCACUCUCUUGAUGUCUUUCGAAUUGUUCCUUGAUCUGUGUCUUAAUUUUGCCAAAGAGUAUUUUGAUGAAUCAUUAUUUUCUCCUAUUCACUUAUCUUUCUCCACCAUAUGUAAUUGUUGAAUUGUGUUUAAUUAUUUAAUAUUUUCUCAAUUUUUUUAUUUGGGUUUAAUUCGACCAGUAAUUCAUAUUUUAAUUAAUUUAAAUUUUCUAAACUUAAUUAUUCUUAUUAUUAUUUUAAGGGCAAUUUUGGAAUUAUAUUUUGGACUUCAAGAGAUGCCACGUCAUCUACCAUUGUCCACCCUAGGUUUUUUCUUUUAUUUUUCUUUGUAUUUUUUUAUUGUAAUUUUGGACCAGACUUGGGCUUAGGCCCUAGAAAGGGGACAAACUUGCCUUGCGUAGGUUUUAGUACCCAUGCAACCAAUCUUGGAAGAGCUCUCUCAUUCUCUUUGGGACGUGAACAAUAACUAUUGAAGGUUUAUGUUUUGCUCUCGUUUUUCCUCUUCUCUUAGUCAAUUCAUUUUUGUAGUAAAAUUUAAUUAACUAAUUAUAUAUUAUUUUUUUCUUGUAGUAUUUUUCUAGUUGUAGAUGUC